GAUGAACGCUGGCGGCGUGCUUAACACAUGCAAGUCGAACGGAAAGGCUCCUGCUUGCAGGGGUACUCGAGUGGCGAACGGGUGAGUAACACGUGGGUGAUCUGCCCUGCACUUCGGGAUAAGCCUGGGAAACUGGGUCUAAUACCGGAUAGGACGAUGGUUUGGAUGCCAUUGUGGAAAGUUUUUCGGUGUGGGAUGAGCUCGCGGCCUAUCAGCUUGUUGGUGGGGUAAUGGCCUACCAAGGCGUCGACGGGUAGCCGGCCUGAGAGGGUGUACGGCCACAUUGGGACUGAGAUACGGCCCAGACUCCUACGGGAGGCAGCAGUGGGGAAUAUUGCACAAUGGGCGCAAGCCUGAUGCAGCGACGCCGCGUGGGGGAUGACGACCUUCGGGUUGUAAACUCCUUUCGCUAGGGACGAAGCGCAAGUGACGGUACCUGGAGAAGAAGCACCGGCUAACUACGU
RNAcentral lists this ribosomal RNA (464 nucleotides) under uncultured bacterium. Its description in RNAcentral is "partial 16S ribosomal RNA". It matches the Rfam family "Bacterial small subunit ribosomal RNA", at positions 28 to 506 of the family's 1533-position model. The record is from RNAcentral.